GGAGGAGUUAUUGUUGGAAGCCCUACAUCCACACCCAAAUUUGAAGGGGCUGCCAAUAGAGGAUUAUGAGGGAGUGAGUUACCCAAGUUGGAUGAUGGUUGGCGAAAUUGGCUUAUCCCUUCCAAAUCAAGUCCAAAUUUUUAUUUUGGGAUGUGAGGGAUGGAAACAUGUUCCACCAUUUGGUCAACUUCCUUCUCUCCAAUUUCUUAGGGUUGAAGGCAUGGAAUCCUUGGAGUACAUAGACUGCCUCUCUUCAUCAACAUCCUUCCCUUCGCUGAAAGAACUCCGACUCUCUUCAUUGUAUAAUUUGAAGGGAUGGUGGAGGAGCCAAGCAGAAGAAGAAGGAGCAGCCCAACAGCAACAACAGCUUCUAUCAUUCCCAAAUCUCGACAAAAUUGAUAGAUCCAAUUGUUACAUAUGGAAACAUCUUGCACCAUUUGGUCAACUCCAUUCUCUUCAAUUUCUUAGGGUUGCAUGGAUGGAAUCCUUGGAGUACAUAGACAACCGUACUGGCUACGGCUGCCACUCUUCAACAACAUUCUUCCCAUCGCUCAAACAACUCGUAUUCGUUAGAGUUGCCUAAAUUGAAGGGAUGGUGGAGGAGCGAAGCAACACCAACACCAACACCAACACCGGCCCAACACCAACAUCAUCAUCAGCUAAUUUUAUCAACAUCAUUUCCUUCUCUUUCCAAAUCAAUCAUCCAUUUUUGCCCUAAUCUGGAAUCGGUGCCUUUUUUGCAACAAUGUCUUGAAACCCUACAACUGUCCGGGUUCAACGAGAAGCUAGUGCUACAACAGUUAAUGAUGAUGGUGUCCCCAACAAUAGUCGCAACCUCGUCCUCUUCAUCUUCUUUGCUUCUUCGUCUUUCCAAAUUAAAGUCUCUUUCUUUAUAUUCAAUUGAGGAUCUAGUUACUCUGUCUGAGGAGUCGUUUCGAAGCAGCCUCACUUCCCUCCAGGAGAUUGAGAUUUCUGAUUGUCCAAGACUAACCUCUCUGUCAGGAGGACUGCGACAUCUCACCGCCCUCCAUUCCUUGUCUAUCUGCAACUACCAUGAGCUUGAUCUAUUAGAUGAUGACGAUGGCAUGAAAUUUCAAGGCCUAGAUAACCUCACAUAUCUCCUUAUUCACAAUGUUCCAAAGUUGGCAUCUCUUCCUGUGGGGCUAUUUAUUGAACGGUGUAUCAAUUUGAUGGCUUUGCCAAAGUGGAUAGACCACCUCACAUCACUUGAGCGACUUUCCAUUUCCUACUGCCUCGAAUUGACGUCACUGCCAGAGGGAAUGGGUCGGCUCAAUGCAUUACAAAAACUCAAAAUUACAUCAUGCCCUCGAGUUUUACAUGAUAGAUGCCUGAAAGAAAAAGGGGAAGAUUGGCCAAAAUUGCUCACAUCCCAAAUGUUUCUAUUACACUAUUGAAUGACUGCUUAUGUCCACAGCAUCUGGUGCAGUUGGUCAGCUGCUUGGGCAGUUAGCAAAGUUGGUGGGGUGCCAUGUUGUUGGAUAUCUUUAAGGAACUGUCUGAAUGUUUACUUUCUGCAUGUGUUAUGGGCCAUCUUGAUGAGCGCAUUAUCGGAUUAGUUUUACAGUCUUCUUCUUCUUCCUAUUCGUAUUUGUUUAAAUCUAAAAGGGGAGACAUUUUAUUAGCUUAAUUUUUAUUUUAUUUUUCACUAUGAGUCUGUGAACCAACUUGUGAAAUUUUUACAAUUUUCCUACUCUGGUAAGCUUAAAAUUUAAGGAAAAAAAAUGUCAUCUAACAAAAUGAAAAGUGGAACUAUCAUUCUGUUAAUUGUGGAAGAGAAACAAAUUGAUAUGGAAAACUGAUUCAGGGCAGGGGCCAGCACACUUUCCUUAGAACAAUGGUCACUCCACUUUUAAUGGUACGCAUUAGGGGAUGACAAAUUUGCAUAUAAGAUUUAACGAAACUAGGUCAAAUGGAUGAUUAAAGACUAAAGUGUAUGUAUAGCUUUAUAUGUUACUUGCUUGGUUCAGAUUAAGAUCCCUCUUUCAUAUUAGUACAAAGUUUCUACAAAUUUACUGGAAGAAACAGGAUUAGAACCGGCCAAAUGGACGAUUACAAAACUGUGUAUGUAUAGCUUCGUAUGAAAUAUAUGUUUUAAAGCAAUGGAAUGAAAUGUGAACUUUUGAGAAAUCUGUGUAAUGAUGUGAUGACAUUAAAUUGAUUGAUGCUAUUGAAUUGAAUGCAAUGUGAGUUGAUGUUUACUGUGGAUAUUGAUAUUUGAUCAUUUUUCUGCCUCAAUAUUGCAUUAUUAUUGUAUUGCUAUGGAUCAUGAAUGCUUAGCUGAAAUGAUUUCAAAAUAUUGUUCUGGAGCUUGAUUUCAGAAUCCUGUUAUGAUUUCAGAUUUUGCUACUCAUAACAUAUGCCUGUGAUAAAACCCUUGUGAUCACGGGUAAUACAGCAUUGAUGCUUACUCUUUCAUUUCUUCCCUCAGAAUCAAAAUUAUUUCUAGUUUCACCCUCUGUACAAAUUUGAUGUUCGGAAUUCAUGAACUUUCGCAGGUUCUCUCCUCUCUUGGCCUGGUCUCAUUUCCUAUCUCGUAUUCAUUGUUUCUAUCUGAAUUUGCUCCUAUUCUUAUUCCUUCUUCUCUGCAUCUGUUUCGGUUGGAUACUAAGGCCAGUUAUUGAAAUGAAAGGGAAACCCCAGGUCACCGCAUUUGUUGUUUCCUGUAUGCCUUUCUAGAGCAGAGAUCUAAUCUUUUCUCAUCGUAUACACACACGUAUCACAUAUGCGUAUAAAUAUGUGUGUGUUCCUGCUUUGUGGCUUUUCCAUGUUAAAAUCUGGUGUGCAUUUCACUGCUUAAAUGUUGCUUUUACUGUUAUAUUUAUUUUAUAUCUGCAAGCAUUUACUUGUUUGUUUCAAAAGCAAUUUUAACCAGAUUAAAGGUUAAUCAGUAAUUGAAUUUUAAAUUGCUAAAAUGUUUCACCAAGACCCAUUCACACCCCCUCUAGGACGAUCCUUGUGCUUUAUAUUCAAUUGUUACUGUUUCGGUCGAAUCUCCCUUCAAAUAUAACAUUUUAGAGUCAAAUUUUAUUGACUUUACCUUACAAGGAAAUAUCAAGAGGAAGCUCACAUGGUGCUCAAAGUUUUUAAUCGAUAGAAUUCAAGGAUUGCUUUUUAAAAUCAUAGAUAGAAAGGCAGAUGGAUAGAGUUUAAAUUGUUGAAAUGACUCAAACUAUGAAACUACCAGAGGCUUGCAUGAGCAUUCACUUUGAUUGACAUGCUGCAGAUUCUUAAACUUGUAUAUAUGAAUUUUCAUGGUGAAAAUAUUGCAGGUGAUAACUGGGUAUGGAGUACCAAAAGUACUUUUGGAUUCAGGACACCCGAACUUCAAGAAGGGUGACUUGGUUUGGGGGACAACUGGAUGGGAAGAGUACAGUCUCAUUUUUGCACCCGAUUCCCUUUUCAAAAUUGAACGUAUUAAUGAUGUACCUCUCUCAAACUAUACGGGAAUUCUGGGUAUUCCCGAAAUGGCUGCUUAUGCUGGUUUUUAUGAGAUUUGUACUCCUAAAAAGGGUGAAUAUGUAUGUCUCUGCAGCAUAUGGUGCAAUUGGUCAGCUGGUUGGGCAGUUUGCUAAGUUGAUGGGGUGCCAUGUCGUUGAAAGUGCUGGAAGUAAAGAAAAUGCGAGUCCUAUCUCAGUAGCGUUUCAUAUUUUUCAUUACCAUUUCUUGGUGGAUGCUUGUUGGAUAUCUUCAAGCAUCUGGUGCAAUUGGUCAGCUUGUUGGGCAGUUUGCAAAGUUGACGGGGUGCCAUGUUGUUCGAAGUGCUGGAAGUAAAGAAAACACGGUCCUAUCUUAGUAGCAUUGCAUCUUUUUCACCAGCCCUCGUCCUGUCAUGUAUAUUAUAUAGUCAUUCAUUUACAACUGGAAUUUAAUGCUCUAGUCUGUUGUUUUUUCCCCACUCUAAAUUGUCCUUGAAUCGUUUUUUCCUGUAUUAAUUUAAUUUCUUACUAGAAUGUCUUUGCCACUGGUAUCUAACAUUCCUCAAUGAAUAAUUUCAAAACCGUAUAUAAUUUAGAUAUGCAA
This is an RNA transcript of Cornus florida, 4041 nucleotides long. It is a transcript of the gene named 2-alkenal reductase (NADP(+)-dependent)-like, with no coding region annotated. The record is from RefSeq and is a predicted model, not a curated record. NCBI's taxonomy places the organism in Eukaryota, Viridiplantae, Streptophyta, Magnoliopsida, Cornales, Cornaceae. The transcript is spliced from 5 exons.